Molecule: long non-coding RNA, 2037 nt
Organism: Acinonyx jubatus (cheetah)
Lineage: Eukaryota; Metazoa; Chordata; Mammalia; Carnivora; Felidae
Exons: 3
Source: RefSeq, a predicted model, not a curated record
UCAUUGUGGAUUUAUUUGGGUGGUCAGGGAAUCGUUCCUAAGGAGAUUGGCCUCCAAUGGAGCCUUGAACUUUAUGUAGGAGUUAUGGAAGGGUGAGAGGCACAAGGGCACUCCAGGUGAAAAGAACCAUGAGAGCAAAGGCAAUGGAAGCUGAAGGAGUCAUGCUUUGUCCUGUCAGGGGCAGAAUGUGUAUGUUCGUGGGGAGAGAGGAGUGAGCCACCAGCCUUACUGCGGUUGAUAGUUCACAGUGGAGAGUGGUAGAAAAAUAUGGUUGAUAAGGCCGUCUGGGGCCAGCCUGUGCAAGGCCUUGGAUUUCAGGACAAAGGGUUUGGACUUGAUCCUGGAGACAGUGGGAGCCAGAGAAGACUGGGGAAAGGGGUUGACUUGAUGAAAGAGUUCCUCAUUCACUAAAGAAAAGCACCAGCACAGCUCAUUUUUCUCCUUAGAAAACAAUCUCAGAAUUUAGCUUUAAAUGCACCCCCAACUCUGUGAAAAGCAUAUACCAGCCCCUGCACGGCUCCCAGGGGAAGUUCAUGAGUUCAGACUCAAAGCACAAGAUGUGUUUUAUUUGGCAUUUAAGCGUGUCUAUGGGUGAUGUGUGUCCUCAAAUGAGGACAGACUGAUAUGAUUAAAAAUUUCAUAUCGGUUAUUUUGACUCUCUCACGCCUUUGCCCUCCACUGUUUAGCCUCCGACUCCUUCACUUCUGGAUAUCCAGAGGAAAAUGGCUGUAAGAUCAGAGACUUUCUUAGUAGCAUGUGUGGUGUAGAUUCUCAGGUUAAGGACUCUGUAGGAAUUAACUGCUGCUUUCUCAAGCUUUCUAAGUCUCAUUUGGUCUUUAGAGUCUAGGAAUACCUCACAUCGCGUCUGGCACUUGGCAGGGAUGCAACUAGAACUAAUUGGUAACGAUGUUUAUGAUAGUACGGUUUGAAAUGCAAAUGGAAACCUACUUAAAUUUUACUAAACCUAAUUCACCUAUUUACGUAUUUCUUCUCUCCAUUCUUUCUCCCUUUCUUCCUGCUCACUGUUUCUUCAUUUCUCUUUCCUCCUUUUUCUUUUUACUUUCUAUCUCCUUGUAACUUUCUUUUUCCUUACAGGAACUGGGAAAGACAAGGGUGUGUGGGCGGCCAUGGCGUCCCUCCAAGGAAAGUGUGAGGCUUUGGGCAAAAUAGAUCUCUCAUUUCUUCCAAACAUAGGUCUAAUCUGAACUGUCUCCAGGCUCCAGUCUCCAAUCCAACUUCAGUGGUUUCAGUUGGACUCCAUGAGAAGGGACCCCAGGGAUGCUGUGUCGUUAGUCUUGUCUUGGAGAAAACCAGCUUUCUAUGCACCUACUUGUUUCACAGAUUGGGGCACCCACAUUCCCUUUCCUCACGUCAUUGGAUCCCAAGAGACUCUUCUGAGUGAAAUGCCUUGCUGAAGAGAAGCAGGACUUCAUUAAGAGUUUGAUUUAUCCCCAAAUGAUCUAUUGUUAUGCAUCAAACAUGUUUUCCCUACGAACCAGUUGGCAGGGAGCACACAGAUAAAUUACUACAAGAUGUAACCAGACAAGCUGUUGAAAAGGGAAAUGGCUCUCUGUGUGUGGAACUCAGGAGAGCACAUCUAUAAACAUGUGUUGGGAAAUCAAUUCAGUGUAACUUUGUUGGAAGGAAUGAGCUGCUGCCCCCAAACUACCAGCUUGCUGUGAUAGCUAACUGUUUUUUUGAGGUCAUUGUCCAUUGUCUCAGUGAUGGCUGGGGAAACCUGUAUCUGAAGGGAAGGAAGUCACUACCUCAUAAAGGAGGUCUGCAUUAGAUGCCUCUCCUACGGGCUCACAGCACUCCGUCUACUUCUCCUCUUAAUCGCUGUUGUUAAUUUCCUGUGCACUUUUCUCCAUGUUCCAUUUGAUCCCAAAUGUCAUGAUGGUAACACUGCAUCCACUGUGUUCAACAUGAACAGCAGCAGCAGCAAUUAAAACUCAUUACAUCGCUGACUGUGUGUCUCUCCUUGUGCGUGUUAUCUUGGCUAAUCUAUUUUAGCUAAUCUGUUUUAGCUAAUCUACA